GUCUUCGUGGAGUAAUGUAACUUACUCCCACUCACUCUGAUAGCUUUCGAGUGCUGGGAGAGUCGGUGGUUCAAACCUACCCGAAGACA
Mycena rebaudengoi is the source of this 89-nucleotide non-coding RNA. The record is from the annotation of a GenBank genome assembly. NCBI's taxonomy places the organism in Eukaryota, Fungi, Basidiomycota, Agaricomycetes, Agaricales, Mycenaceae.